RNAcentral lists this ribosomal RNA (902 nucleotides) under uncultured Olsenella sp. RNAcentral describes it as "bacterial SSU rRNA". It matches the Rfam family "Bacterial small subunit ribosomal RNA", at positions 8 to 923 of the family's 1533-position model. Lineage: Bacteria; Bacillati; Actinomycetota; Coriobacteriia; Coriobacteriales; Atopobiaceae. The record is from RNAcentral.
AGAGUUUGAUCCUGGCUCAGGAUGAACGCUGGCGGCGCGCCUAACACAUGCAAGUCGAACGGUUAAAGCACCUCCGGGUGUGAAUAAAGUGGCGAACGGCUGAGUAACACGUGGGCAACCUGCCCCUCGCUCCGGGACAGCCUCGGGAAACUGGGAGUAAUACCGGAUACUCCGCCACCCCCGCAUGGGGGAGGCGGGAAAGCUCCGACGGCGAGGGAUGGGCCCGCGGCCUGUUAGCUUGUUGGUGGGGUAACGGCCUACCAAGGCAAUGAUGGGUAGCUGGGUUGAGAGACCGACCAGCCAGAUUGGGACUGAGACACGGCCCAGACUCCUACGGGAGGCAGCAGUGGGGAAUCUUGCACAAUGGGCGAAAGCCUGAUGCAGCGACGCCGCGUGCGGGACGAAGGCCUUCGGGUUGUAAACCGCUUUCAGUGGGGACGAGGCCGAGAGGUGACGGUACCCACAGAAGAAGCCCCGGCUAACUACGUGCCAGCAGCCGCGGUAAUACGUAGGGGGCGAGCGUUAUCCGGAUUCAUUGGGCGUAAAGCGCGUGUAGGCGGUCCGUUAGGUCGGGAGUUAAAUCCGGGGGCUCAACCCCCGCCCGCUCCCGAUACCGGCGGACUUGAGUCUGGUAGGGGAAAGUGGAAUUCCAAGUGUAGCGGUGGAAUGCGCAGAUAUUUGGAAGAACACCGGUGGCGAAGGCGGCUUUCUGGGCCACGACUGACGCUGAGACGCGAAAGCUAGGGGAGCGAACAGGAUUAGAUACCCUGGUAGUCCUAGCCGUAAACGAUGGACACUAGGUGUGGGGGGACGAUCCCUCCGUGCCGCAGCCAACGCAUUAAGUGUCCCGCCUGGGGAGUACGGCCGCAAGGCUAAAACUCAAAGGAAUUGACGGGGGCCCG